UUGACCUCGAAUCAGGUAGGAAUACCCGCUGAACUUAAGCAUAUCAAUAAGCGGAGGAAAAGAAACCAACAGGGAUUGCCCUAGUAACGGCGAGUGAAGCGGCAACAGCUCAAAUUUGAAAUCUGGCCCCCGGGUCCGAGUUGUAAUUUGUAGAGGAUGCUUUUGGUGCGGUGCCUUCCGAGUUCCCUGGAACGGGACGCCAUAGAGGGUGAGAGCCCCGUCUGGUCGGC
Molecule: ribosomal RNA, 230 nt
Filed under: Calostilbe striispora
Lineage: Eukaryota; Fungi; Ascomycota; Sordariomycetes; Hypocreales; Nectriaceae
Description: partial 28S ribosomal RNA
Rfam family: Eukaryotic large subunit ribosomal RNA
Source: RNAcentral